RNAcentral lists this ribosomal RNA (330 nucleotides) under uncultured bacterium. RNAcentral's name for it is "bacterial SSU rRNA". It matches the Rfam family "Bacterial small subunit ribosomal RNA", at positions 568 to 898 of the family's 1533-position model. The record is from RNAcentral.
UGUGUAGGCGGCCUGUUAAGUUCCGUGUGAAAUCUCCCGGCUCAACCGGGAGGGUGCGCGGAAAACUGGCGGGCUAGAGUGCGGGAUGGGAGAGUAGAAUUCCUGGUGUAGCGGUGAAAUGCGUAGAUAUCAGGAGGAAUACCGGUGGUGUAGACGGCUCUCUGGACCGCAACUGACGCUGAAACACGAAAGCGUGGGUAGCAAACAGGAUUAGAUACCCUGGUAGUCCACGCCCUAAACGAUGCAUAUUUGGUGUAGGUCAUUCAGUUGAUCUGUGCCGGAGCUAACGCGUUAAAUAUGCCGCCUGGGGAGUACAGUCGCAAGGCUGAA